Molecule: ribosomal RNA, 427 nt
Filed under: uncultured bacterium
Lineage: Bacteria
Description: bacterial SSU rRNA
Rfam family: Bacterial small subunit ribosomal RNA
Source: RNAcentral
UAGGGAAUAUUGGACAAUGGGGGCAACCCUGAUCCAGCCAUGCCGCGUGAGUGAAGAAGGCCCUCGGGUUGUAAAGCUCUUUUGUCCGGAAAGAAAAGCUUCGGGUUAAUACCCCGGGGUUCUGACGGUACCGGAAGAAUAAGCACCGGCUAACUUCGUGCCAGUAGCCGCGGUAAUACGAAAGGUGCAAGCGUUACUCGGAAUUACUGGGCGUAAAGCGUGCGUAGGUGGUUGUUUAAGUCUGAUGUGAAAGCCCUGGGCUCAACCUGGGAAUGGCAUUGGAAACUGGGCAGCUAGAGUGCGGUAGAGGGUAGUGGAAUUCCCGGUGUAGCAGUGAAAUGCGUAGAGAUCGGGAGGAACAUCUGUGGCGAAGGCGACUGCCUGGACCAGCACUGACACUGAGGCACGAAAGCGUGGGGAGCAAACA